GACGUAGGGCGCGAGCGUUGUCCGGAUUUAUUGGGCGUAAAGAGCUCGUAGGCGGCUUGUCGCGUCAACUGUGAAAACCCGUGGCUCAACCAUGUGGUCUGCAGUCGAUACGGGCAGGCUAGAUUUCGGUAGGGGAGACUGGAAUUCCUGGUGUAGCGGUGAAAUGCGCAGAUAUCAGGAGGAACACCGGUGGCGAAGGCGGGUCUCUGGGCCGAUAUUGACGCUGAGGAGCGAAAGCGUGGGGAGCGAACAGG
Molecule: ribosomal RNA, 254 nt
Filed under: uncultured bacterium
Lineage: Bacteria
Description: partial 16S ribosomal RNA
Rfam family: Bacterial small subunit ribosomal RNA
Source: RNAcentral